AGAGUUUGAUCCUGGCUCAGCCUGAACGCUGGCGGCGUGGCUAAGACAUGCAAGUCGCACGGGCCUAGCAAUAGGUCAGUGGCGGACGGGUGAGUAAAGAAUCGCUAACGUACCCCAUAGUCCGGGAUAGCUGUCCGAAAGGGCAGGUAAUACCGGCAUGACAUCCCCGGGAGGCAUCUCCUGGUGCUCAAAGGCGUAAGCCGCUUUGGGAGCGGGCGAUUUCGUAUCAGCUAGUUGGUAGGGUAACGGCUUACCAAGGCGACGACGCGUAGCCGGACUGAGAGGUUGGCCGGCCACAUUGGGACUGAGACACUGCCCAGACUCCUACGGGGGGCUGCAGUAACGAAUCUUCCGCAAUGCCCGCAAGGGUGACGGAGCGACGCCGCGUGGAGGACGAAGUCCUUCGGGAUGUAAACUCCUGUCAGGGGCUACCAAGUUCUGAGGGGCCCCAGAGGAAGGCACGGCUAACUCUGUGCCAGCAGCCGCGGUAAGACAGAGGUGCCGAGCGUUAGGCGGAAUCACUGGGCUUAAAGCGUGUGUAGGCGGGCCGUUAAGUGCCCCGUGAAAUCCCCCGGCUCAACCGGGGAACUGCGGGGCAUACUGGCGGCCUUGAGCCACUUAAGGGCAGACGGAACAAGCGGUGGAGCGGUGAAAUGCGUAGAUAUCGCUUGGAACGCCGACGGCGAAAGCAGUCUGCUGGGGGUGUGCUGACGCUGAGACACGAAAGCCAGGGGAGCGAACGGGAUUAGAUACCCCGGUAGUCCUGGCCGUAAACGAUGUCGACUAGGUCGCGGGCGCCUCUGACGGUGCUCGCGGCCGAAGCAAAAGUGCUAAGUCGACCGCCUGGGAAGUACGGUCGCAAGGCUAAAACUCAAAGGAAUUGACGG
This 887-nucleotide ribosomal RNA is filed under the name uncultured bacterium. Its description in RNAcentral is "bacterial SSU rRNA". It matches the Rfam family "Bacterial small subunit ribosomal RNA", at positions 8 to 916 of the family's 1533-position model. The record is from RNAcentral.